AAGGGCACCACAAGAACGCGUGGAGCAUGUGGCUUAAUUUGACUCAACGCGGGAAAUCUUACCGGGUCCGGGCACACUGAGGAUUGACAGGUAAAUGGAAUUGGCUCCUUGGAGUUAGUUCCGCAAAUAUGCCAGUCCUUUCAUGAUUGUGUGAUAGGUGGUGCAUGGCCGUUCUUAGUUCGUGGAAUAAUCUGUCUGCUUAAUUGCGUUUUUUAGAAAGGUCCGGAUAGCUGCAAAACCCCCAAGUUCCUUCAGCUUUCUGUUGGAAUGCGGGGCUGGCUAACGUGACCUUAUUGAAACGAACGUGACCCCUUUUAUCAUUUGGCUACAGUGACUUAUUACAACUCACUUGUAGUGUAACCCAUAAUAAGACUACUAGGCUCGACCUGAUGGAAGGUUGGGGCAAUAACAGGUCUGUGAUGCCCUUAGAUGUCCCGGGCUGCACACGUGCUACAAUGAUCUAUGCAGUAAGUAUCUAACAAGAAUCUAAGCAUUUUAUUGCUAUAGACAAGCCUUCUUCGAGAGUAAGAAGGUAAUCAAUUGUAAGUAUAGAUUUCCUUAUAGCUUCAGUGUCGUUUUACACUCCGGUGUGACGGCAUGUUGCUCUUUUCAAGACUUCAUAGUGGGGACAGACCUUUGUUAAUUGUUGGUCUCGUUUUCAACUAGGAAUGCCUUGUACGGGUCUUUGGUUCAACAGACCACCCGGAAUACGUCCCUGCCCUUUGUACACACCGCCCGUC
RNAcentral lists this ribosomal RNA (740 nucleotides) under Foraminifera environmental sample. RNAcentral describes it as "SSU rRNA". It matches the Rfam family "Eukaryotic small subunit ribosomal RNA", at positions 1160 to 1677 of the family's 1831-position model. The record is from RNAcentral. Lineage: Eukaryota; Foraminifera.